GACACUUAUGCCCGUUUUCACCAACAACCUCUUACCGUUUCCCUAUCUAAAAGCUACUUUUAAUAAGGACCCCUCCCAAUUUGACACCUACCUAAAUUCAUUUUCACCACACUUGUACAUGGAUCCCUUAAAAGAAAAAGACAAGCUAGUGAAAUUGCUGACGUCUCAUAGAGACACAAUAUUAAACAAAAAACGGAUGGGACCACGAACGAAGCCAAAAACAAAGCUUGGAUCCAGUCACAAAUAGUUUUAAUGCGACAGGAACCCUUUACAGUUUCAGGUGGUGCGAGAAAUUGGAAAGACGUGUAAAAACAUGCUGCGCCCAGCCCACCUCAAAUUGAAUUGGUGCAGGAGGAUGAUGAUAAUGUUUGGUACAUCAUAUGAGGACUAAUAUUAAAAUAUUUGUUUAC
Molecule: long non-coding RNA, 410 nt
Organism: Helicoverpa armigera (cotton bollworm)
Lineage: Eukaryota; Metazoa; Arthropoda; Insecta; Lepidoptera; Noctuidae
Exons: 3
Source: RefSeq, a predicted model, not a curated record